This 639-nucleotide ribosomal RNA is filed under the name uncultured Actinomycetes bacterium. Its description in RNAcentral is "bacterial SSU rRNA". It matches the Rfam family "Bacterial small subunit ribosomal RNA", at positions 232 to 885 of the family's 1533-position model. Lineage: Bacteria; Bacillati; Actinomycetota; Actinomycetes. The record is from RNAcentral.
CGCGGCCUAUCAGCUUGUUGGUGGGGUAACGGCCUACCAAGGCAUCGACGGGUAGCUGGUCUGAGAGGACGAUCAGCCACACUGGGACUGAGACACGGCCCAGACUCCUACGGGAGGCAGCAGUGGGGAAUCUUGCGCAAUGGGCGAAAGCCUGACGCAGCAACACCGCGUGCGGGAUGAAGGCCUUCGGGUUGUAAACCGCUUUCAGCAGGGACGAAAUUGACGGUACCUGCAGAAGAAGCCCCGGCCAACUACGUGCCAGCAGCCGCGGUAACACGUAGGGGGCGAGCGUUGUCCGGAUUUAUUGGGCGUAAAGAGCUCGUAGGCGGCUCAGUCAGUCAGCUGUGAAAGCUCCGGGCUCAACCCGGAGAGGCCAGCUGAUACUGCUGUGGCUAGAGUCCGGUAGGGGAGCGUGGAACUCCUGGUGUAGCGGUGAAAUGCGCAGAUAUCAGGAAGAACACCAGCGGCGAAGGCGGCGCUCUGGGCCGGAACUGACGCUGAGGAGCGAAAGCGUGGGGAGCGAACAGGAUUAGAUACCCUGGUAGUCCACGCCGUAAACGUUGGGCACUAGGUGUGGGACCUUUCCAACAGGUUCCGUGCCGUAGCUAACGCAUUAAGUGCCCCGCCUGGGGAGUACGG